UCAGGAUGAACGCUAGCGACAGGCCUAACACAUGCAAGUCAGGGGCAGCACAAGGAGCAAUCUGAGGUGGCGACCGGCGCACGGGUGAGUAACACGUAUGCAACCUGCCUGUAAGCGGGGAAUAACCCGUUGAAAGACGGACUAAUACCGCAUAAUACUAAAUUACUGCAUGGUAAUUUAUUUAAACAUUUAUGGCUUACAGAUGGGCAUGCGCAUGAUUAGCUAGUUGGAGAGGUAACGGCUCCCCAAGGCAACGAUCAUUAGGGGUUCUGAGAGGAAGGUCCCCCCACACUGGUACUGAGACACGGACCAGACUCCUACGGGAGGCAGCAGUGAGGAAUAUUGGUCAAUGGACGAGAGUCUGAACCAGCCAAGUCGCGUGCAGGAAGAAUGUCCUAUGGAUUGUAAACUGCUUUUGCAGGGGAAUAAAGUGCAUCACGUGUGAUGUUUUGUAUGUACUCUGCGAAUAAGGAUCGGCUAACUCCGUGCCAGCCGCCGC
This 499-nucleotide ribosomal RNA is filed under the name uncultured bacterium. RNAcentral's name for it is "bacterial SSU rRNA". It matches the Rfam family "Bacterial small subunit ribosomal RNA", at positions 24 to 518 of the family's 1533-position model. The record is from RNAcentral.